This 207-nucleotide ribosomal RNA is filed under the name uncultured bacterium. RNAcentral describes it as "partial 16S ribosomal RNA". It matches the Rfam family "Bacterial small subunit ribosomal RNA", at positions 568 to 774 of the family's 1533-position model. The record is from RNAcentral.
UGCGUAGGCGGCUUGGUGGGUCUGGUGUGAAAGCCCCGGGCUCAGCCCGGGAAGGGCACUAGAAACUGCCGAGCUGGAGUGCCGGAGGGGAGAGUGGAAUUCCUGGUGUAGCGAUGAAAUGCGUAGAUAUCAGGAGGAAUACCGGUGGCGAAAGCGACUCUCUGGACGGCAACUGACGCUGAGGCACGAAAGCGUGGGGAGCAAACA